This 616-nucleotide ribosomal RNA is filed under the name Serratia sp. Q1. RNAcentral describes it as "bacterial SSU rRNA". It matches the Rfam family "Bacterial small subunit ribosomal RNA", at positions 117 to 729 of the family's 1533-position model. Lineage: Bacteria; Pseudomonadati; Pseudomonadota; Gammaproteobacteria; Enterobacterales; Yersiniaceae. The record is from RNAcentral.
CUGGGAAACUGCCUGAUGGAGGGGGAUAACUACUGGAAACGGUAGCUAAUACCGCAUAACGUCGCAAGACCAAAGAGGGGGACCUUCGGGCCUCUUGCCAUCAGAUGUGCCCAGAUGGGAUUAGCUAGUAGGUGGGGUAAUGGCUCACCUAGGCGACGAUCCCUAGCUGGUCUGAGAGGAUGACCAGCCACACUGGAACUGAGACACGGUCCAGACUCCUACGGGAGGCAGCAGUGGGGAAUAUUGCACAAUGGGCGCAAGCCUGAUGCAGCCAUGCCGCGUGUGUGAAGAAGGCCUUCGGGUUGUAAAGCACUUUCAGCGAGGAGGAAGGUGGUGAGCUUAAUACGCUCAUCAAUUGACGUUACUCGCAGAAGAAGCACCGGCUAACUCCGUGCCAGCAGCCGCGGUAAUACGGAGGGUGCAAGCGUUAAUCGGAAUUACUGGGCGUAAAGCGCACGCAGGCGGUUUGUUAAGUCAGAUGUGAAAUCCCCGGGCUCAACCUGGGAACUGCUUUUGAAACUGGCAAGCUAGAGUCUCGUAGAGGGGGGUAGAGUUCCAGGUGUAGCGGUGAAAUGCGUAGAGAUCUGGAGGAAUACCGGUGGCGAAGGCGGCCCCC